CCCUAAGAUGAGAUCUCUCAUCCUUCGUGGAGUAAGGGCCCAGGAAGACUACCUGGUUGAUAGGCAGGAGGUGGAAGCGCAGUAAUGUGUGAAGCUGACCUGUACUAAUCGCCCGAGGGCUUGACCUACAA
RNAcentral lists this ribosomal RNA (131 nucleotides) under Oscillospiraceae bacterium. Its description in RNAcentral is "partial 23S ribosomal RNA". It matches the Rfam family "Bacterial large subunit ribosomal RNA", at positions 2797 to 2925 of the family's 2925-position model. Lineage: Bacteria; Bacillati; Bacillota; Clostridia; Eubacteriales; Oscillospiraceae. The record is from RNAcentral.